RNAcentral lists this ribosomal RNA (963 nucleotides) under Alcaligenes faecalis. RNAcentral's name for it is "bacterial SSU rRNA". It matches the Rfam family "Bacterial small subunit ribosomal RNA", at positions 550 to 1513 of the family's 1533-position model. Lineage: Bacteria; Pseudomonadati; Pseudomonadota; Betaproteobacteria; Burkholderiales; Alcaligenaceae. The record is from RNAcentral.
AUUACUGGGCGUAAGCGUGUGUAGGCGGUUCGGAAAGAAAGAUGUGAAAUCCCAGGGCUCAACCUUGGAACUGCAUUUUUAACUGCCGAGCUAGAGUAUGUCAGAGGGGGGUAGAAUUCCACGUGUAGCAGUGAAAUGCGUAGAUAUGUGGAGGAAUACCGAUGGCGAAGGCAGCCCCCUGGGAUAAUACUGACGCUCAGACACGAAAGCGUGGGGAGCAAACAGGAUUAGAUACCCUGGUAGUCCACGCCCUAAACGAUGUCAACUAGCUGUUGGGGCCGUUAGGCCUUAGUAGCGCAGCUAACGCGUGAAGUUGACCGCCUGGGGAGUACGGUCGCAAGAUUAAAACUCAGAGGAAUUGACGGGGACCCGCACAACGGUGGAUGAUGUGGAUUAAUUCGAUGCAACGCGAAAAACCUUACCUACCCUUGACAUGUCUGGAAAGCCGAAGAGAUUUGGCCGUGCUCGCAAGAGAACCGGAACACAGGUGCUGCAUGGCUGUCGUCAGCUCGUGUCGUGAGAUGUUGGGUUAAGUCCCGCAACGAGCGCAACCCUUGUCAUUAGUUGCUACGCAAGAGCACUCUAAUGAGACUGCCGGUGACAAACCGGAGGAAGGUGGGGAUGACGUCAAGUCCUCAUGGCCCUUAUGGGUAGGGCUUCACACGUCAUACAAUGGUCGGGACAGAGGGUCGCCAACCCGCGAGGGGGAGCCAAUCUCACAAACCCGAUCGUAGUCCGGAUCGCAGUCUGCAACUCGACUGCGUGAAGUCGGAAUCGCUAGUAAUCGCGGAUCAGAAUGUCGCGGUGAAUACGUUCCCGGGGUCUUGUACACACCAGUCCGUCACACCAUGGGGAUUGGGUUUCACCAUAAGUAGGUAGCCCAACCGUAUGGAGGGCGCUUACCACGGAUGGGAUUCAUGACUGGGGGUGAAGUCGUAACCACGGUAGACCGUAUCGGAACGU